Rhododendron vialii is the source of this 2822-nucleotide long non-coding RNA. RefSeq lists it as uncharacterized. The record is from RefSeq and is a predicted model, not a curated record. Lineage: Eukaryota; Viridiplantae; Streptophyta; Magnoliopsida; Ericales; Ericaceae. The transcript has 2 exons.
UUACAAAAUUUUCUUGAUCUCUCCAUUUAUCACAAGAAACCCUAGAAAGAGAAAUCUUCCGCAAAAUCUGAAACCCUGGAAAGAGAAGAAGACCAUCAUGUCCGACAGUGAGGCCAUGGACGAUUCCCUCUGGCGCCACCUUCCACCGGAGAUCAUCGCCCACAUACUCUCUCUCCUACCGGUAAAGUCUCUCUGUCGAUUCAAGUGCGUCUCCCCUUUGUGGAAAUCCCUAAUCUCUUCCCCCAAAUUCUUCAAAACCCACCUUCACAUGACCAUCACUACCAACAAACCUCAAAAAACCCUUCUCAGGUCCCGCUCCGACGCUCUCUACUCCCUUGAUCUCGCCGACGCAAAUCCAGCUGCUGAAAAGCUUGAUUCUUUUUCGGCCGAGCAGUUUGGCGAGUGGCGCAGGGUUUCAAAUCCCUGCUAUGGCUUGCUUCUAGUUCACGGUAAAAGUUAUGAAUCCAAUUUCUUGUUGAAUCCGUUCACUGGCGAAUGCAAGAAACCCCUUCUCUGACAUCAAUUCGCCUGAAGGGUUUAGGCAUUCUGUACGUGGGUUCGGUUAUGACUCGGGUACGGAUGAUUACAAGGUUGUGAUUGUCUGUACCCCCCUGAAGUUGAUACUGAUGUGGGCCAUGUGGCUGUCUAUUCACUGAAAACUGAUGCUUGGAGCAAAAUUCAAGUUUCACACGAUCUCUUUCUGGAAGCUGACUUUGGGGUUUACCUUAAUGACCGUCUCCACUGGAUUUGUUCGGAUAGUGGUAUGCAUGCUGUUGCUUUCAAUUUUUCGGAUGAGAUCUUUAGAAAAAUCGAGCUGCCUGAUUAUGUGUUUGACAGUUCACACAUGGACGUUCUUCGGGGUUGUCUCUGUUUGGUUAUUUUCCCGGAUAGUUACGGAAUUGGAUUUUGGAUGAUGAAUGAGUAUGGGGUAACAGAGUCGUGGACUAAAUUUUCAAUUGCUAAUCCUAGGAUGUAUAUAGAUAGUGUGUUGUGUUUGUCAGCAGACAACGAGUUUGUGCUAAGAACGCACAGAAGGACAGCAGAUUUUAGCGGAGAAAUAUUAGUAGAUGAACCAAACAGACACCAACUAGUUCUGUACAAUCCGAAAAAAGAAAUAGUGAGGAUCAUGAUUGUUCCUGGCAUUCCAAGUGUAUUUUCAUUUUCGGGCAACUUGGUUGAGACCCUUGUCUCUCCUAAUUGGAGGACAGAUUAUGAGACAAUGUGAAGCUUCUUCCUGUGAAAGUUCAAAGAUUUAUCAGGUUUCCUAGAACAUUGGAUGAAACCAGGAGCUGUCAAUCGUCUGUAAAGGAAGAAAGUUGUGAGGUGGAACCGAGUUCAUACUUAGGCAACACUGAGGCUUCAAGUUCAAGCGGCAAUUUCGCCAUUAAAGAUGCUUGUUGAUAGGAAGAUGUUUUUAAUUUUGGUGCAGAUCCUGUAGUGAUUAGCUAUGGUUCUGUUUUGUGGGUGAAUCUUGUGGUUUUUUGGUUGAUUACUGGCACACUGCUCUACUUCUUUUCAUGACAUGACCUAUCUAACAAUUGAAUCUUAAAAUUAAUGUUUGUUGUUUUGUUUGUGGUCAGAUUCCGAAUGAUGCUGUUUUUUUCCCUUUUAACUAAGCAUAUGUGCAGUACUCAUUAGUCAUUAGCAAGCGCUUCGUAUAUGCCCAUCAAAGGCGUCGUUCCCCAUCCAGGAGCGACUUUACCAUCGAUCAUCAUCUCAACUUGUUUAGUAAAGAUCUUCCUCAAUUUUGAAUUUGAUGAGGACAGCCUCAUUGUGUUCGAAAGAUUUGUUGCCGCAUUGCCCUUAUCCAUUAAUGAUAAUUGUUGAAUUGAUGUUCCAGUUUCAGCUUUCUAGUUUUUGAUGCUGCUCUUCUCCGUUAUGGGGCUUCUAGCCAUUUCUUUCAUCUAUUUACUAGUGCACAUAAAUUGAAUUGGGUAUCUAGGCUUGCCCUCUCUGAUGCCAUUUGGCUUUAAUUUGGGGACAUGGUUCCGCAACAAAAUAGGUAUAGAGGGCCACUAUUUCGGUGGUAUUCUGAGAGCACAAAGUCUAGGCCUGCCUUCUUUGAUGCCAUUUGGCUUUGAUUUGGGUGCAUGGUUCCGCAACAAAACAGGUAUAGGGGGCCAUUGUUUCUGUGGUAUUCUAAGAGCAGCCACUUUGUGCAUAUUGCCAAAGGUUAGGUUUAUCUCCAAUCCUUCCCCGCCCAUACCCCCAAUGAUUGAGGACUACAUGGGUUGUGUUGUUGAUGUCUUUAGUGGUGUUAGAAUACAUGCACAUUGAUUGUCUAAAUUUUAUUUUGCAGCUGCCAGUGAAGGAACAUCCAAGCUCUAAUCCUACAAAUAAAUUAUGUGCAGCAGUACUCAACGGUUUACCAGGGAACCAUGUUCUAUCUAGUUAUGCCCUUCAGCACUUCUUCUCCAAGCCCGUUUGAAGGUACUUUUGGGGCUUGAUUUCAAGUGAAGCUUCUUCUUCUUUUUUUCCUAGUAUUUAUUUUUGUAACUUCAGUUUCAUUUCUCGGCAAAGAGCUUCUUUGUUGUGGUAUUGUUUGUUAUUCCAUGAGUGUUCCAUUAUUCACCUUGGGAUGUAAUGAGGACAGCUUUAACAUGGAUGACUUGGGAAAGUUCCUGGUUCCUCCUGUCCAAGAAAUUGAUACUUGAAGCUGAAGCUAGUAGUAGUAUUAGUAUCAUUUUUGUCAUCUUCAAAUUGUGAAGCCCUUGUGGAUGGUCUGUGUUGGAGUUGUCCUCAUAAGAAUCUUUACAUAGAUUUUUGAAGUAGUUGUUAGCAGUGGCAGCAGUGAUAUAAAGUGUUGGAGGUAUUCUUUGAAA